RNAcentral lists this ribosomal RNA (497 nucleotides) under uncultured bacterium. RNAcentral describes it as "partial 16S ribosomal RNA". It matches the Rfam family "Bacterial small subunit ribosomal RNA", at positions 28 to 507 of the family's 1533-position model. The record is from RNAcentral.
GAUGAACGCUGGCGGCGUGCCUAAUACAUGCAAGUCGAGCGAACAGAUGAGGAGCUUGCUCCUCUGACGUUAGCGGCGGACGGGUGAGUAACACGUGGAUAACCUACCUAUAAGACUGGGAUAACUUCGGGAAACCGGAGCUAAUACCGGAGAAUAUAUUGAACCGCAUGGUUCAAUAGUGAAAUACGGUGUUGCUGUCACUUAUAGAUGGAUCCGCGCCGCAUUAGCUAGUUGGUAAGUUAACGGCUUACCAAGGCAACGAUGCGUAGCCGAACUGAGAGGGUGAUAGGCCACACUGGAACUGAGACACGGUCCAGGCUCCUACGGGAGGCAGCAGUAGGGAAUCUUCCGCAAUGGGCGAAAGUCUGACGGAGCAACGCCGCGUGAGUGAUGAAGGUCUUCGGAUCGUAAAACUCUGUUAUUAGGGAAGAACAAAUGUGUAAGUAACUAUGCACGUCUUGACGGUACCUAAUCAGAAAGCCACGGCUAACUACGUG